GGCUCGGUAACUUAGUUGGUAAAGCGCUCGUCUAGCAUACAAGAGUCCUGGGUUCAAAUCCUAGCCGAGCAC
Molecule: transfer RNA, 72 nt
Filed under: Aedes aegypti (yellow fever mosquito)
Lineage: Eukaryota; Metazoa; Arthropoda; Insecta; Diptera; Culicidae
Rfam family: tRNA
About the family: Transfer RNA (tRNA) molecules are approximately 80 nucleotides in length.
Source: Rfam by way of RNAcentral